GCCCGGCAGCUGCCCCGUCUGAGAAGUGAGGAGCCUCUCCGCCCGGCAGCCACCCCAUCUGGGAAGUGAGGAGCAUCUCCGCCCAGCAGCCACCCCGUCCGGGAGGGAGGUGGGGGGGGGUCAGCCCCCCACCCGGCCAGCCACCCCAUCCGGGAGGGAGGUGGGGGGUCAGCCCCCCCGCCCGGCCAGCUGUGCCAUCCGGGAGGGAGGUGGGGGGGUCAGCCCCCCGCCCGGCCAGCCGCCCCGUCCGGGAGGUGAGGGGCGCCU
RNAcentral lists this long non-coding RNA (267 nucleotides) under Homo sapiens (human). Its description in RNAcentral is "HSALNT0397926". Lineage: Eukaryota; Metazoa; Chordata; Mammalia; Primates; Hominidae. The record is from RNAcentral.